AGUGAACGCUGGCGGUAGGCCUAACACAUGCAAGUCGAACGGCAGCACAGUAAGAGCUUGCUCUUACGGGUGGCGAGUGGCGGACGGGUGAGGAAUACAUCGGAAUCUACUUUUUCGUGGGGGAUAACGUAGGUAAACUUACGCUAAUACCGCAUACGACCUACGGGUGAAAGCAGGGGAUCUUCGGACCUUGCGCGAUUGAAUGAGCCGAUGUCGGAUUAGCUAGUUGGCGGGGUAAAGGCCCACCAAGGCGACGAUCCGUAGCUGGUCUGAGAGGAUGGUCGGCCACACUGGAACUGAGACACGGUCCAGACUCCUACGGGAGGCAGCAGUGGGGAAUAUUGGACAAUGGGCGCAAGCCUGAUCCAGCCAUACCGCGUGGGUGAAGAAGGCCUUCGGGUUGUAAAGCCCUUUUGUUGGGAAAGAAAAGCAGCAGGUUAAUACCCAGCUGUUCUGACGGUACCCAAAGAAUAAGCACCGGCUAACUUCGUG
This 492-nucleotide ribosomal RNA is filed under the name uncultured bacterium. Its description in RNAcentral is "partial 16S ribosomal RNA". It matches the Rfam family "Bacterial small subunit ribosomal RNA", at positions 29 to 507 of the family's 1533-position model. The record is from RNAcentral.